Molecule: ribosomal RNA, 795 nt
Filed under: Staphylococcus sp.
Lineage: Bacteria; Bacillati; Bacillota; Bacilli; Caryophanales; Staphylococcaceae
Description: bacterial SSU rRNA
Rfam family: Bacterial small subunit ribosomal RNA
Source: RNAcentral
UGCUAUACAUGCAGUCGAGCGAACAGACGAGGAGCUUGCUCCUCUGACGUUAGCGGCGGACGGGUGAGUAACACGUGGAUAACCUACCUAUAAGACUGGGAUAACUUCGGGAAACCGGAGCUAAUACCGGAUAAUAUAUUGAACCGCAUGGUUCAAUAGUGAAAGACGGUUUUGCUGUCACUUAUAGAUGGAUCCGCGCCGCAUUAGCUAGUUGGUAAGGUAACGGCUUACCAAGGCAACGAUGCGUAGCCGACCUGAGAGGGUGAUCGGCCACACUGGAACUGAGACACGGUCCAGACUCCUACGGGAGGCAGCAGUAGGGAAUCUUCCGCAAUGGGCGAAAGCCUGACGGAGCAACGCCGCGUGAGUGAUGAAGGUCUUCGGAUCGUAAAACUCUGUUAUUAGGGAAGAACAAAUGUGUAAGUAACUAUGCACGUCUUGACGGUACCUAAUCAGAAAGCCACGGCUAACUACGUGCCAGCAGCCGCGGUAAUACGUAGGUGGCAAGCGUUAUCCGGAAUUAUUGGGCGUAAAGCGCGCGUAGGCGGUUUUUUAAGUCUGAUGUGAAAGCCCACGGCUCAACCGUGGAGGGUCAUUGGAAACUGGAAAACUUGAGUGCAGAAGAGGAAAGUGGAAUUCCAUGUGUAGCGGUGAAAUGCGCAGAGAUAUGGAGGAACACCAGUGGCGAAGGCGACUUUCUGGUCUGUAACUGACGCUGAUGUGCGAAAGCGUGGGGAUCAAACAGGAUUAGAUACCCUGGUAGUCCACGCCGUAAACGAUGAGUGCUAAGUGUUA